ACGCACGCUGGCGGCAUGCCUAACACAUGCAAGUCGAACGAAGGCUUCGGCCUUAGUGGCGCACGGGUGCGUAACGCGUGGGAAUCUGCCCUUUGGUUCGGAAUAACAGCUGGAAACGGCUGCUAAUACCGGAUGAUGACGAAAGUCCAAAGAUUUAUCGCCAGAGGAUGAGCCCGCGUUGGAUUAGGUAGUUGGUGGGGUAAAGGCCUACCAAGCCGACGAUCCAUAGCUGGUCUGAGAGGAUGAUCAGCCACACUGGGACUGAGACACGGCCCAGACUCCUACGGGAGGCAGCAGUGGGGAAUAUUGGACAAUGGGCGCAAGCCUGAUCCAGCAAUGCCGCGUGAGUGAUGAAGGCCCUAGGGUUGUAAAGCUCUUUUACCCGGGAAGAUAAUGACUGUACCGGGAGAAUAAGCCCCGGCUAACUCCGUG
RNAcentral lists this ribosomal RNA (432 nucleotides) under uncultured bacterium. Its description in RNAcentral is "partial 16S ribosomal RNA". It matches the Rfam family "Bacterial small subunit ribosomal RNA", at positions 29 to 507 of the family's 1533-position model. The record is from RNAcentral.